This 402-nucleotide ribosomal RNA is filed under the name uncultured bacterium. RNAcentral's name for it is "bacterial SSU rRNA". It matches the Rfam family "Bacterial small subunit ribosomal RNA", at positions 355 to 774 of the family's 1533-position model. The record is from RNAcentral.
UGGGGAAUCUUGCACAAUGGGGGAAACCCUGAUGCAGCGACGCCGCGUGAACGAUGAAGCCCUUCGGGGUGUAAAGCUCUUUCGACCGGAACGAUAAUGACGGUACCGGGAGAAGAAGCUGCGGCUAACUACGUGCCAGCAGCCGCGGUAAUACGUAGGCAGCAAGCGUUGUUCGGAGUUACUGGGCGUAAAGAGUGCGUAGGCGGUUUUCUAAGUUCGGUGUGAAAUCUCCCGGCUUAACUGGGAGGGUGCGCCGAAGACUGGGAAGCUGGAGUGUGGGAAAGGCAGGCGGAAUUCCUGGUGUAGCGGUGAAAUGCGUAGAUAUCAGGAGGAACACCGGCGGUGUAGACGGCUUGCUAGACCAUAACUGACGCUGAGGCACGAAAGCGUGGGUAGCAAACA